UACGAAGGUGGCAAGCGUUGUUCGGAUUUACUGGGCGUACAGGGAGCGUAGGCGGUUGGGUAAGCCCUCCGUGAAAUCUCCGGGCCUAACCCGGAAAGUGCGGAGGGGACUGCUCGGCUAGAGGAUGGGAGAGGAGCGCGGAAUUCCCGGUGUAGCGGUGAAAUGCGUAGAGAUCGGGAGGAACACCCGUGGCGAAGGCGGCUCACUGGGCUGACCUUGACGCUGAGGCGCGAAGGCGUGGGGAGCGAACGGG
RNAcentral lists this ribosomal RNA (253 nucleotides) under uncultured bacterium. RNAcentral's name for it is "partial 16S ribosomal RNA". It matches the Rfam family "Bacterial small subunit ribosomal RNA", at positions 524 to 776 of the family's 1533-position model. The record is from RNAcentral.